CCCUCCGCCAGAGGGCCUGGGAAAGAGCAGCCCAGAGGUUUCUGGGUAUUGUAGUCUCAAAGGGGCAGAGAAACAGGAGGCGCACAUUUUGGUAAAAAGGAGAUUGUGAUACAAAUACCUACGUUCAGGCAUGACUUUAUGGAUAGAAAGCGCCUGUCAUUAUUAAAUGCCCAGUAAAUGCCGGUUGCCAAGGAGACAGCAGUAAACAAGCAGGGGAACAGCCUCGGACGUUGUGUUGGGAGCUCGGGUAGGAAGAAAGUGAACCCUGUUUCUCAUCCUCAGCGUUAUUGACAUUUGGGUCUGAUCUUCCCUUGGGCCCGUGGAAUUAUUCAAAUAAGCCAGUCACAGGAAGCGAGGCUCACCCCGAAAGCCUGCCUCCCAUAGCCCCUCCUGGUUCACUCUGCUUCUGAGCACACCCUCCCUGUGGCCCUGGGUGUCCUCCGCCCAGGCUCUGUCUGGAAACCUCCGUUGUAAUAACCAAUCAGUGUGAAGGUUAAACAGCGUCCUCGUUUCCACCUUGGAAACCAUCCGGGAGUCAGGCACCUGAGCCAUACAGUCCUGUCACUCAGGGCUGGCCUGGUAAUUUCCAGAGGGAAGAGAAGUUUCAGUGCUCAGCAGAAGAAGCGACUGGGAAAAACAAAAUCGUUUUCCACUCAUACUUCAGCUUUCUCCUAACACAGACUGAAGGAACUCAGUGACCUCUAGAUGGAAAAGGCAUGAAUCCACGACUCACCUUCUUCCUUGCAGCCAUUUCUUUCUUCUAAAAAUGAAGAAGGAGAAGGAGGAGGAAGAGGAAGAUAGAAGAAAGGAAGAGUAGAAGGAAGGAGGAGAGAGGGAGGAAUAACAAGGGGAAGAGGAGGAGGAGGAAAGAAAGGAAGAAGACGCAUCAUCAGAGCAAACACAGACAGAAGGUGGCACCAAACAGGAGUCUCCACUUACCGCUUAAUGCCUGGAGGCUCAUCAAACCUAAGGAAGACAACACACAAAUUGAGUUGCAAACGGCAGUGUGAUAAAUGCCUCCAGAUCCACAGGUCAACAAGCUCACCCCAAGCUGCCUCUCCUCUGAAGAGCCCUGCUGGAUUCCCAUUUUCUCAUUGCCUCUCCCUUGGACAUUGAUUCAUGUUGUACUAUAACUAUCUGUCUGUCUCCCCCAUCAGACUAUGAUUUUACGUAGAAGUACAAGCAGAUUAGAUUCAUCUUUGGGUUUCUACUCCCCUGCAUGGUCCUGGCACAUGAAAAAUAUUCUUGCCAAACAAGCUUCCCACCAAAAUCCCAGGGCAUGCGUAGACUGAGAUAUUUACCUAGGAUCUCUGAUGUCACCCGUCCAGAAGGAAAUGUGGUCCGGGAGGCAAGACCAUGGUCAGGGUCGCAGACAAAGUCCAGAAUGUUGAGUCCAAUGGGCCAUGAGAGUUGAGACCAUAGUAGGAAAAAAAUCACUAGAUCAGAAGGUGGGAGAUUGGGAGCCAAGGAAAGCAGAGCCCAGGUGGGUUGUGGUAAGCAGUUAGGACUUAGGGCAGUGACCCGGGGGAGACCGUUGAAAGCCCCAUUGUAUGGGUCCGAGAGGAAAUCUAGUGGCUUAAAGGACUUGCAUUGGACCACAGUUGGGUUGGGAAGGCAGCUACCACUCCUCCAUGUGUGGAGUGUCACCAUGUUGCAGGCACCUUACACACUUCAGACAAAUAAUGCUUCCUUUGUGAAGAAGUUGUGGGAGAUACAUAACCUAAUUCAUGAAAGGUGCUGUUUCCAGUGCCUGGCGCCUGGGAAACUCUUAAUGCAUGUCAGUCAUUGCAGUCACUGUCUCCAUAAUAAAGUUGCCCAUAUCCAUGACUUGAGGAGGGCGUUGGUUCCCAUAGGACACCCCACCUUUUUGAAGGAGAAGAUAAUACAGCUAUUUUUUUUCCAGUCCCUGGGUUAAAAAAAAAUUCUCUGAGAGAUGAUUCAUGGUUAAGAAUGGAUCCCUUAGCAGAGAUAAGAAAGGGAACAAGGCAGAGUGGGGGCAAUUUGAAACAAAGAUCUUACGCUUCAAUACUGUUGAGAUGCGAGCAGCAAGGAGGAGAAAAUCCAGCGGGAGUUAUCAGGCGCCGACAGAAGCAGAGAGGAAAGGAUGAGAAAGCUGUUAAUGCCUUCUUCCUAGCUUAUCCCACCUGCUGGUUCUCAAAAGAGACCCUGCAAGGGAGGGAAAUGGGAGCGUCUCCCAGAUUUCAUGGGAUAGGUUGGGGGGGGAGGGUGAUUCUAGAUACUUCUACUACACUGGUCCCCUUUGGAGACAUAUUUAUCCACAUGGUUGGAAUCCCCAGGUACCCAGUUUCCUUGAGGAUUCAUCCCCCAGAAAUUAGGAGGAUUAUCAGAAGAGGAUCCCCUUAACCCAUUUGUGUCUCGUUAUCUCAUUUCUCUCCUGAGGAGUCAGAAGAGAGAAAGCUUGAGGAAAGUGUAAGAGGACCUCUUGGGUCCUCCUUAUUCAGUAGAGCCUCCCAACAUAUACUCAAACUCAAUACGUCUUUGUUUUCUGGGGCAGGUCCUUGGCUUUUGAGAAUCUGAUAAAAUCUGGGGACCUUCUAUGCAUCUGAGCUCACAUGCCCAGUCAUACCUGCAGCCCAAGACCCACCCGCAUCCCAGACACACCCUCGCGAUUUUCCACGCAAUCUCAGGGGGCGUGUGGACCCCUGAAGCUCAUCCUGAGCCUUCUUCAGUGAUGGGGGCAGUAGAUUGAGACCUCUUUUAGCAGAAGGUUUCUCUCAACCCGGGUCCUAAAUUAAGAAGAACAGUCCAAAGAUUCCCUUCUCUUCCCUGUUUUCUCUUCUUCCCAGCAUCUGAAAACAUCAAAGUUAACCACAGAAAAGGAAAAAUAACUUACUUUUCACUGGAGGGUGCAGCAGAACCGGAAGUCAGGGAGUCAACAUGGAAAAGAGUGAGUGAGAGACUAAAAUCAAAUUAACUCCCACCCCCCCAUACAUUCCGUUAUUCCUUUACUAAAUACUCUUAAAAUUAUUUCUAACUUUUUAUUGUGUAAUAAUUACAGAUUCACAAAAUAUUAUAAAAAUAGUGCAGAGGAGUCCUGUGUACUCAUCACCCAGCGUCCCCCAGUGGUGGCAUCUUGCAUAACCAUAGCAUGUUGUCAAAACCGGUACAUUGACAUUAACUAGACUGUAAACUUUACUCAAAUUUCACUAGUUUUUUCAUGAA
Equus caballus (horse) is the source of this 3183-nucleotide non-coding RNA. Lineage: Eukaryota; Metazoa; Chordata; Mammalia; Perissodactyla; Equidae. The record is from RefSeq and is a predicted model, not a curated record.